Molecule: transfer RNA, 77 nt
Filed under: Agrobacterium tumefaciens
Lineage: Bacteria; Pseudomonadati; Pseudomonadota; Alphaproteobacteria; Hyphomicrobiales; Rhizobiaceae
Also listed under: 4 other names
Description: tRNA-Met
Rfam family: tRNA
About the family: Transfer RNA (tRNA) molecules are approximately 80 nucleotides in length. Their secondary structure includes four short double-helical elements and three loops (D, anti-codon, and T loops).
Source: RNAcentral
CGUGGAGUAGAGCAGUCCGGUAGCUCGCCAGCCUCAUAAGCUGGAGGCCGUGAGUUCAAAUCUCACCUCCGCAACCA